This 244-nucleotide ribosomal RNA is filed under the name uncultured bacterium. Its description in RNAcentral is "partial 16S ribosomal RNA". It matches the Rfam family "Bacterial small subunit ribosomal RNA", at positions 92 to 339 of the family's 1533-position model. The record is from RNAcentral.
CGAGUGGCGAACGGGUGAGUAAUGCAUCGGAACGUGCCCAAUCGUGGGGGAUAACGCAGCGAAAGCUGUGCUAAUACCGCAUACGAUCUACGGAUGAAAGCGGGGGAUCGCAAGACCUCGCGCGAUUGGAGCGGCCGAUGGCAGAUUAGGUAGUUGGUGGGGUAAAGGCUCACCAAGCCUUCGAUCUGUAGCUGGUCUGAGAGGACGACCAGCCACACUGGGACUGAGACACGGCCCAGACUCC